CGGGGUGGAGUAAUGUCUGGGAAACUGCCUGAUGGAGGGGGAUAACUGCUGGAAACGGUAGCUAAUACCGCAUAACGUCGCAAGACCAAAGAGGGGGACCUUCGGGCCUCUUGCCAUCGGAUGUGCCCAGAUGGGAUUAGCUAGUAGGUGGGGUAACGGCUCACCUAGGCGACGAUCCCUAGCUGGUCUGAGAGGAUGACCAGCCACACUGGAAUUGAGACACGGUCCAG
RNAcentral lists this ribosomal RNA (230 nucleotides) under uncultured bacterium. RNAcentral describes it as "partial 16S ribosomal RNA". It matches the Rfam family "Bacterial small subunit ribosomal RNA", at positions 104 to 334 of the family's 1533-position model. The record is from RNAcentral.